UUGUUGCCAUAACUCCGAGCUUAUCUGCACUAAGUUUUCUUAAGCGCAACGUUUUUGAAGAUAAGUCAUUUAAGCCAGUGGCAUUGAUCCACAAGGGCAAAGUGGGAAACCUUUUUGCCUCCCGUAUUUGGAAAGGUGUUCCGUGGCGCAACCA
RNAcentral lists this non-coding RNA (154 nucleotides) under Vibrio metschnikovii. RNAcentral describes it as "MoCo sequence". It matches the Rfam family "Molybdenum/Tungsten riboswitch aptamer (Moco RNA motif)". The record is from RNAcentral. Lineage: Bacteria; Pseudomonadati; Pseudomonadota; Gammaproteobacteria; Vibrionales; Vibrionaceae.